Molecule: long non-coding RNA, 246 nt
Filed under: Lathyrus oleraceus (garden pea)
Lineage: Eukaryota; Viridiplantae; Streptophyta; Magnoliopsida; Fabales; Fabaceae
Description: Pisum sativum (pea) long non-coding RNA (PSAT_LNC021591)
Source: RNAcentral
UUCCAAUGCUUGCAUCAAUGCACAUUGAAAUGUCUACAUAAUUAAACAACAACCAACCAUAACAUUCAUGCAUUAAACCAAGUAUUCCCAUCACUUCAAUUCAUCAACUUUAAGCUAUUCUAACAUCCCCUAAUUGUCAUAACAGUCUCAAACUAAUUCCAAACCACAUAAAACUAAUUUCAAACCAUAUCAAACUAACUUCAAACCUCUUCAAACUAAUUCCAAACCAUUUUAACUAAUUCCAAG